This 1186-nucleotide unclassified non-coding RNA is filed under the name Ooceraea biroi (clonal raider ant). Its description in RNAcentral is "uncharacterized LOC105285760, transcript variant X2". The record is from RNAcentral. Lineage: Eukaryota; Metazoa; Arthropoda; Insecta; Hymenoptera; Formicidae.
AUGAAGCUUUACACAGCGUUCACCAGCAAAUACCAUUUCGCAGGACGGAUGGAGCAGCUAUGUCAAUAAAACGACUGACUGAUCUUUCAAGACGGUGGAAAACAAAUUUUAUAUGAGCGCAAGCGCAGUAGACAGCUAUACCCUUCGACGCGUCAGUCGAUCUUGCGCCACCGAGGUGUACACUUCGAUGUGAAACAAUGCGGCAUGUGCACGUGCAUAUCUUGGAUAUUACUCUUGUCAGUCAUCUUCUUUCAUUCAUCUACUUGUUGUUUAAAUGAGGUAUACAUUUUAUUCUGAUAAUAUACACAUCCACUUAAUUAUAUCAGUUAAAUUACAGUUAUAAAAAAAAUUUAUGUUUAAAAAAAAUAUGCAAUAAAGGCGCAUGUUGAUUUUAUGGAAUAUAUUAUAAUUAUAUUGUACUGUAUUUAUAAAACCAACAUGCAAAUAUACCUGGCAUCAUUUUUGUACAUUUUUUUCAGUAUAUAUAAAAAACGAAUUCCUACAAAAGCUGUGAUAUCUAAUAACGCUAACUUAAAAGAAAUACAUAGAAAAGAUUAUUUUUUAUUAUCUAUAUCGUUUUUGUAUAUUUAUCAUAAUAAAAAAAAUCGAAGCAGAAAAAUAAUGUAUACUAAUAUGUAUAAAACAUAUUAAUACAAUAGUUGUAAUACCAGACAAUACCACCAAGAGGAAAAUAUAGAAAAGUGUAUUUAAUUAUAAAGUUGAUUAUAAAUUAUAAAUUAUAAGAAGGCUGCCAUCCUCUCACGAUCAACACUGCAGACAGAUGCUCAUAAAGACUACCACGACAAUGUUGAAAUGAAGUUUACUACUUUCCAAAUUUAUAUUGUAAUAUUUCAAUUUACAGAACAUGUAGAACAAAAAUAAGAACACUUUUAUUUAUAAAGUGAACCUUUGUGAUUAUCAAUUGAGCUGUAGACGGAUUUUAUUCAGGACUUGACCAUGAAGCUGACUGUUUUCACGAUAAAUAUCUCAGACGGUGUUUAUGACUUCUAACACGAAACAAAUCAAUUGACGUGCCAUCACGCGAUUGAUAAUUUUCGAAAGGUAUACCGUUUGCCUUACGAUCAGAAUAAAUAGACAGUAUAAAUAGACAAGCGACAAAAAGAAAGACACACAGUUACGGAUCUAGACAGAAAUAGAGAGGAAGGACUACAGAUAGAUAAAUAAA